UACCUCAUCAGCUUUAUGUUUUGUGCGC
RNAcentral lists this small RNA (28 nucleotides) under Bombyx mori (domestic silkworm). RNAcentral's name for it is "ovarian small RNA-6077". Lineage: Eukaryota; Metazoa; Arthropoda; Insecta; Lepidoptera; Bombycidae. The record is from RNAcentral.